Non-coding RNA from Rhodotorula diobovata, 81 nucleotides. The record is from the annotation of a GenBank genome assembly. NCBI's taxonomy places the organism in Eukaryota, Fungi, Basidiomycota, Microbotryomycetes, Sporidiobolales, Sporidiobolaceae.
GGCCAGGUGGUGUAGUUGGUUAGCACUGCGGUUUUUGAUCGAGAUUUACCGCCGACCUGGGUUCGAGUCCCGGCCAGGCCU